GGAGCCAGCAGUGGGGAAUAUUGCACAAUGGGCGCAAGCCUGAUGCAGCCAUGCCGCGUGUAUGAAGAAGGCCUUCGGGUUGUAAAGUACUUUCAGCGAGGAGGAAGGGGUUAAGGUUAAUAACCUUGGCCAUUGACGUUACUCGCAGAAGAAGCACCGGCUAACUCCGUGCCAGCAGCCGCGGUAAUACGGAGGGUGCAAGCGUUAAUCGGAAUUACUGGGCGUAAAGCGCACGCAGGCGGUUUGUUAAGUCAGAUGUGAAAUCCCCGGGCUCAACCUGGGAACUGCAUUUGAAACUGGCAAGCUUGAGUCUCGUAGAGGGGGGUAGAAUUCCAGGUGUAGCGGUGAAAUGCGUAGAGAUCUGGAGGAAUGAACGGUGGCGAAGGCUGCCCCCUGG
Molecule: ribosomal RNA, 397 nt
Filed under: Cronobacter dublinensis
Lineage: Bacteria; Pseudomonadati; Pseudomonadota; Gammaproteobacteria; Enterobacterales; Enterobacteriaceae
Description: bacterial SSU rRNA
Rfam family: Bacterial small subunit ribosomal RNA
Source: RNAcentral